GAGUUUGAUCUUGGCUCAGAUUGAACGCUGGCGGCAUGCCUUACACAUGCAAGUCGAACGGCAGCACGGGAGCUUGCUCCUGGUGGCGAGUGGCGAACGGGUGAGUAAUGCAUCGGAACGUAUCCUGGAGUGGGGGGAUAACGUAGCGAAAGUUACGCUAAUACCGCAUAUUCUGUGAGCAGGAAAGCGGGGGACCUUCGGGCCUCGCGCUCUUGGAGCGGCCGAUGUCGGAUUAGCUAGUUGGUGGGGUAAUGGCUCACCAAGGCGACGAUCCGUAACUGGUCUGAGAGGAUGAUCAGUCACACUGGAACUGAGACACGGUCCAGACUCCUACGGGAGGCAGCAGUGGGGAUAUUGGACAAUGGGCGAAAGCCUGAUCCAGCCAUGCCGCGUGUGUGAAGAAGGUCUUCGGAUUGGUAAAGCACUUUAAGUUGGGAGGAAGGGCAGUAAGUUAAUACCUUGCUGUUUUGACGUUACCGACAGAAUAAG
Molecule: ribosomal RNA, 489 nt
Filed under: bacterium enrichment culture clone ALO1_GLFRUDD03GX8GX
Lineage: Bacteria
Description: bacterial SSU rRNA
Rfam family: Bacterial small subunit ribosomal RNA
Source: RNAcentral